Erinaceus europaeus (western European hedgehog) is the source of this 108-nucleotide small nuclear RNA. The record is from Ensembl. NCBI's taxonomy places the organism in Eukaryota, Metazoa, Chordata, Mammalia, Eulipotyphla, Erinaceidae.
UUGUGCUUACUUCAACUCCACUAUACUAAAAUUGAAACCAUACAGAGAAGAUUAGCAUGGCCUCUGAGCAAGGGUGACACGCAAAUUUGUGAAGCAAUCCAUAUUUUU